Molecule: ribosomal RNA, 492 nt
Filed under: uncultured bacterium
Lineage: Bacteria
Description: partial 16S ribosomal RNA
Rfam family: Bacterial small subunit ribosomal RNA
Source: RNAcentral
AGUGAACGCUGGCGGUAGGCCUAACACAUGCAAGUCGAACGGCAGCACAGUAAGAGCUUGCUCUUACGGGUGGCGAGUGGCGGACGGGUGAGGAAUACAUCGGAAUCUACUUUUUCGUGGGGGAUAACGUAGGGAAACUUACGCUAAUACCGCAUACGACCUACGGGUGAAAGCAGGGGAUCUUCUGACCUUGCGCGAUUGAAUGAGCCGAUGUCGGAUUAGCUAGUUGGCGGGGUAAAGGCCCACCAAGGCGACGAUCCGUAGCUGGUCUGAGAGGAUGAUCAGCCACACUGGAAGUGAGACACGGUCCAGACUCCUGCGGGAGGCAGCAGUGGGGAAUAUUGGACAAAGGGCGCAAGCCUGAUCCAGCCAUACCGCGUGGGUGAAGAAGGCCUUCGGGUUGUAAAGCCCUUUUGUUGGGAAAGAAAAGCAGCAGGUUAAUACCCCGCUGUUCUGACGGUACCCAAAGAAUAAGCACCGGCUAACUUCGUG